This is a long non-coding RNA of Anas platyrhynchos (mallard), 1179 nucleotides long. RefSeq lists it as uncharacterized. Lineage: Eukaryota; Metazoa; Chordata; Aves; Anseriformes; Anatidae. The record is from RefSeq and is a predicted model, not a curated record.
UGGACUAGCUUAUCUACUCUCUGCCUAAGACAUAGUUACAGACAAAAUCUCUUUGCUCAGACAGCAGUGUCAAAACUGACUCUAUAACUAUUCCUAUGGCAAGGCAGGACAGCACGAAACAAAUGGACAUCUAAAUAGGAGGGGGUUCCAGGCGCCAUAGAGCAAAGAGGAAAGUCUUUCCAGGUACAGCAACCAAGAAUUAUCUUGUGCUUCUCUUGAUGGAUUUGCCAUGGUAACACAAACGUACAGAAAGCAUCUGAAAUCCUGUCUUUGUUAUCUACAACUGAGAUCUCACUGGUCACAAAGAAAAUUCAUCUAUGCCAAGAGGACACUGAGAUUACCCACGACCACCUCUUGAUGCCUGAGCACAGCUACGUAUUUGAAAAGAUUUUUCAGUUGUACUGGAUCUUUGAAAGCUGGCAGGAUGAAUUUCUAGGUUUCCAGUCUUUAACGUUUAUCUCCCCUUGGAUCUCACCAUCUGCUCCUAUUUGGCAGCACAGAAAUCAUUAAGGAGGAAUUGGUGGCAGUUACUGAAGUUGAUGAAUAUGACUGAAAUUUCCAUGGUGGUUUCUGUGUUGUGGGGGUUGCUUGAGGAAGUAGUGUUUUUUUUUUCCUUUUGUCAGGUUUAUGUCUGUUGACACAUGUUCAUGGAGCAUAGUGCAAUGAAAUCCACAAUGUUAAGAUUAUUUUUUAUGUUGGUCAUUUGUUGUUGUUUGUUUGUACCUUUCAUUCAAGUGUAUUCUACCUACCUUAUUAUUUUUACCUUUAUUUCUCAAUGCCAUAUCUUUGAGCUCAUCAGCAAAUCAAAUAACCAUUUUUUAGAAUGUAGGCUUUGUUCUGUGAGAGUUCAGUCUCAGUGUAGCCCAGCCCCAAGGUAGCUACAGUUACCAGAGACAACCAUUCACUUAAGACAAUGGUCAUGCAAUGUAGUUUUAAACUUUGAAGAUGGUACUGUUUUGUAUUUUUUUUUUUUUUUUUUUUUUUUUUUCCCCAAAUUUUCUGCUCUGUAUUCAGUUUCUGAUUGACUGGAAUAUUUCACUAUCUUUACCUUCUGGAGAGCAAAAUCUUAAGUGAGUCUCAAUGUGACUCAAACAGUGAUCUGUUACACAUUCUGCAUAUGGCUGAAGUGAAAGAGAACAAUUAAACAUGGAAUGGGAAAAGAAGAAAGUUUGUUGUUGU